Molecule: unclassified non-coding RNA, 25 nt
Filed under: Mus musculus (house mouse)
Lineage: Eukaryota; Metazoa; Chordata; Mammalia; Rodentia; Muridae
Description: oocyte_clustered_small_RNA714
Source: RNAcentral
UCAGAGCUGAGAUGGAAGAAUGGAC